Molecule: unclassified non-coding RNA, 545 nt
Filed under: Hevea brasiliensis (rubber tree)
Lineage: Eukaryota; Viridiplantae; Streptophyta; Magnoliopsida; Malpighiales; Euphorbiaceae
Source: RNAcentral
CGCUUCCUUUGACCAGUAGCAUAAGCAUUGAUCGUUCUGUGAAAAAAAUGGACACUGCUUCCAUCUUUCUUAGCACCAGGAAGGUUUUCAGGGUGGGUAUAGCAAAUCCCUUUGUCGUCAACCAAUGUAGGAAUGAAUUCAUCUAUGAAUGCUUGCGGUUUUGAGUCUCCAACACCACAUUUAGCAGCUAAAUGUUCUAAAAUCUGUGCAUCUGAUGGAUCAAACUUUACACCAGCAGGAAGACCAGGCCAAUCAUGAGAAACAUCACUGUUAUCUAUGAAAUGAUGGCAAUUUGGGCAUUCACAAUUCGCUCCAUAGUCUUUGAUUUGAUAAGCAGAAGCUCGAGCGGGAUUUCUCACUUUCCUUGCAAUUGUUCGACUGUCGAUAAGCCAAGCCCUCGCCAUGUCUAAACAGAGACAAGCAGAGACUCGGAACUGUGCGUCUUAAGCUUUAUAAAACUCACUCCCCCUUCUCCACUGUCUAUUGCCUUGUCUCUGUCUUUGUAGUGUUGAGCGGGAAAUUAGGCGUGGCGGUGGAGGUUCGAG